CCCUCCACAGGGUACCUCUGGUUCAAAUCCCCAGCAAAGACAUGGAAGAAUUUUUGCAACGCGCCAAAUCUAAACUGAAUCGAAGCAAACGCUUGGAGAAGGUUCAUGUGGUCAUUGGCCCCAAAUCAUGUGACCUGGAUUCUCUCAUUUCUGCCUUUACCUAUGCUUACUUUCUAGACAAGGUGAGAGGAAGGAGAAUUAUGUCAUUUAUACUUGAAUUAUUAUGUACCUU
RNAcentral lists this long non-coding RNA (232 nucleotides) under Ictidomys tridecemlineatus (thirteen-lined ground squirrel). RNAcentral's name for it is "lncRNA (ENSSTOG00000029644.1)". The record is from RNAcentral. Lineage: Eukaryota; Metazoa; Chordata; Mammalia; Rodentia; Sciuridae.